Molecule: ribosomal RNA, 879 nt
Filed under: uncultured archaeon
Lineage: Archaea
Description: bacterial SSU rRNA
Rfam family: Archaeal small subunit ribosomal RNA
Source: RNAcentral
CGGUAAUACCUGCGCCCCGAGUGGCGGGCACUAUUAUUGGGUCUAAAGCGGCCGUAGCCGGGCGGGUAAGCCCCCGGUUAAAUCCAGCCGCUCAACGGCUGGACUGCCGGGGGGUACUGCCCGCCUUGGGACCAGGAGAGGCGGGGGGUACUACCGGGGUAGGGGUGAAAUCCUUUAAUCCCGGUGGGACCGCCAGUGGCGAAGGCGCCCCGCCAGAACGGGUCCGACGGUGAGGGCCGAAGGCCAGGGGAGCGAACCGGAUUAGAUACCCGGGUAGUCCUGGCUGUAAACGCUGCGGACUAGGUGUUGGGACCCCUUCGAGGGGUCCCAGUGCCGAAGUGAAGACGUUAAGUCCGCCACCUGGGGAGUACGCCCGCAAGGGUGAAACUUAAAGGAAUUGACGGGGGAGCACACAAGGGGUGAAGCCUGCGGUUCAAUUGGAUUCAACGCCGGAAAUCUUACCGGGGGCGACGGCAGGAUGAAGGCCAGUCUGAAGGGCUUGCCGGACGAGCCGAGAGGUGGUGCAUGGCCACCGUCAGCUCGUACCGUGAGGCGUCCUGUUAAGUCAGGUAACGAGCGAGACCCGCGCCCGCAGUUGCCAGCGGGCCCCGACUCCCGUAUGGGGGAAGGGGUGUCCGGGCACUCUGCGGGGACCGCCGGCGCUAAGCCGGAGGAAGGGGCGGGCGACGGUAGGUCAGUAUGCCCCGAAUCCCCCGAGCUACACGCGGGCUGCAAUGGCCGGGACAAUGGGUUCCGACCCCGAAAGGGGGAGGUAAUCCCGAAACCCGGCCUUAGUUGGAAUUGCGGGCUGAAACUCGCCCGCAUGAACGCGGAAUCCCUAGUAAUCGCGGGUCACUAUCCCGCGGUGAAUACGUCCCU